GUCUUUUUGAUUAUAAUUUAAAGUCGAAUCUGCCCACUGAUUUUAUUAAAGGGCUGCAGUAAAUUGACUGUACAAAGGUAGCAUAAUCAUUAGUCUUUUGAUUGAAGACUUGUAUGAAAGAUUUGAUGAGAUAUAAACUGUCUCUUUAUUAAUUUUAGAAUUUAAUUUUUUAGUAAAAAAGCUAAAAUUUUUUUAAAAGACGAGAAGACCCUAUAGAGUUUUAUAAUUAGAUUAAUUAAAAUUAUUAUUAAUAUUAAAUAAAAAUUAAUUUAAUUAUUUUGUUGGGGUGAUAAAAAAAUUAAAUUAACUUUUUUUUACUUAUAAACAUUAAUUAAUGAGAAGUUGAGCCAUAAAUUAUGAUUUAAAGAAAAAAUUACCUUAGGGAUAACAGCGUUAUUUUUUCUUUUAGUUCAAAUAAAAGAGAAAGUUUGCGACCUCGAUGUUGGAUUAAGAUAUAAUUUAAAUGUAGAAGUUUAAAAGUUUUGAUCUGUUCGAUCAUUAAAAUCUUACA
This 511-nucleotide ribosomal RNA is filed under the name Aeromachus nana. Its description in RNAcentral is "partial 16S ribosomal RNA". The stretch from base 384 to 511 matches the Rfam family "Bacterial large subunit ribosomal RNA", at positions 2473 to 2600 of the family's 2925-position model. The record is from RNAcentral. Lineage: Eukaryota; Metazoa; Arthropoda; Insecta; Lepidoptera; Hesperiidae.